AGUGAACGCUGGCGGUAGGCCUAACACAUGCAAGUCGAACGGCAGCACAGUAAGAGCUUGCUCUUACGGGUGGCGAGUGGCGGACGGGUGAGGAAUACAUCGGAAUCUACUUUUUCGUGGGGGAUAACGUAGGGAAACUUACGCUAAUACCGCAUACGACCUACGGGUGAAAGCAGGGGAUCUUCGGACCUUGCGCGAUUGAAUGAGCCGAUGUCGGAUUAGCUAGUUGGCGGGGUAAAGGCCCACCAAGGCGACGAUCCGUAGCUGGUCUGAGAGGAUGAUCAGCCACACUGGAACUGAGACACGGACCAGACUCCUACGGGAGGCAGCAGUGGGGAAUAUUGGACAAUGGGCGGAAGCCUGAUCCAGCCAUACCGCGUGGGUGAAGAAGGCCUUCGGGUUGUAAAGCCCUUUUGUUGGGAAAGAAAAGCAGCAGGUUAAUACCCCGCUGUUCUGACGGUACCCAAAGAAUAAGCACCGGCUAACUUCGUG
RNAcentral lists this ribosomal RNA (492 nucleotides) under uncultured bacterium. Its description in RNAcentral is "partial 16S ribosomal RNA". It matches the Rfam family "Bacterial small subunit ribosomal RNA", at positions 29 to 507 of the family's 1533-position model. The record is from RNAcentral.